AUUGAACGCUGGCGGCAGGCCUAACACAUGCAAGUCGAGCGGAUGAAGGGAGCUUGCUCCUGGAUUCAGCGGCGGACGGGUGAGUAAUGCCUAGGAAUCUGCCUGGUAGUGGGGGAUAACGUCCGGAAACGGGCGCUAAUACCGCAUACGUCCUGAGGGAGAAAGUGGGGGAUCUUCGGACCUCACGCUAUCAGAUGAGCCUAGGUCGGAUUAGCUAGUUGGUGGGGUAAAGGCCUACCAAGGCGACGACCCGUAACUGGUCUGAGAGGAUGAUCAGUCACACUGGAACUGAGACACGGUCCAGACUCCUACGGGAGGCAGCAGUGGGGAAUAUUGGACGAUGGGCGAAAGCCUGAUCCAGCCAUGCCGCGUGUGAAGAAGGUCUUCGGAUUGUAAAGCACUUUAAGUUGGGAGGAAGGGCAGUAAGUUAAUACCUUGCUGUUUUGACGUUACCAACAGAAUAAGCACCGGCUAACUUCGUG
RNAcentral lists this ribosomal RNA (482 nucleotides) under uncultured bacterium. RNAcentral's name for it is "partial 16S ribosomal RNA". It matches the Rfam family "Bacterial small subunit ribosomal RNA", at positions 30 to 507 of the family's 1533-position model. The record is from RNAcentral.